CGUCUGCCGUGAAAGUCCGGGGCUUAACUCCGGAUCUGCGGUGGGUACGGGCAGACCUGAGUGAUGUAGGGGAGACUGGAAUUCCUGGUGUAGCGGUGAAAUGCGCAGAUAUCAGGAGGAACACCGAUGGCGAAGGCAGGUCUCUGGGCAUUAACUGACGCUGAGGAGCGAAAGCAUGGGGAGCGAACAGGAUUAGAUACCCUGGUAGUCCAUGCCGUAAACGUUGGGCACUAGGUGUGGGGGACACUCCACGUUUUCCGCGCCGUAGCUAACGCAUUAAGUGCCCCGCCUGGGGAGUACGGCCGCAAGGCUAAAACUCAAAGGAAUUGACGGGGGCCCGCACAAGCGGCGGAGCAUGCGGAUUAAUUCGAUGCAACGCGAAGAACCUUACCAAGGCUUGACAUGAACCGGAACGGCGCAGAGAUGUGUCGGCCACUUGUGGCCGGUUUACAGGUGGUGCAUGGUUGUCGUCAGCUCGUGUCGUGAGAUGUUGGGUUAAGUCCCGCAACGAGCGCAACCCUCGUUCCAUGUUGCCAGCGGGUUAUGCCGGGGACUCAUGGGAGACUGCCGGGGUCAACUCGGAGGAAGGUGGGGACGACGUCAAAUCAUCAUGCCCCUUAUGUCUUGGGCUUCACGCAUGCUACAAUGGCCGGUACAAAGGGUUGCGAUGCUGUGAGGUGGAGCUAAUCCCAAAAAGCCGGUCUCAGUUCGGAUUGAGGUCUGCAACUCGACCUCA
RNAcentral lists this ribosomal RNA (736 nucleotides) under uncultured bacterium. RNAcentral describes it as "bacterial SSU rRNA". It matches the Rfam family "Bacterial small subunit ribosomal RNA", at positions 586 to 1320 of the family's 1533-position model. The record is from RNAcentral.